AGCGAACGCUGGCGGCAGGCCUAACACAUGCAAGUCGAACGAACCUUUCGGGGUUAGUGGCGGACGGGUGAGUAACACGUGGGAACGUGCCUUUAGGUUCGGAAUAACUCAGGGAAACUUGUGCUAAUACCGAAUGUGCCCUUCGGGGGAAAGAUUUAUCGCCUUUAGAGCGGCCCGCGUCUGAUUAGCUAGUUGGUUGAGGUAAUGGCUCACCAAGGCGACGAUCAGUAGCUGGUCUGAGAGGAUGAUCAGCCACAUUGGGACUGAGACACGGCCCAAAAUCCUACGGGAGGCAGCAGUGGGGAAUCUUGCGCAAUGGGCGAAAGCCUGACGCAGCCAUGCCGGGUGAAUGAUGAAGGUCUUAGGAUUGUAAAAUUCUUUCACCGGGGACGAUAAUGACGGUACCCGGAGAAGAAGCCCCGGCUAACUUCGUG
This 434-nucleotide ribosomal RNA is filed under the name uncultured bacterium. RNAcentral's name for it is "partial 16S ribosomal RNA". It matches the Rfam family "Bacterial small subunit ribosomal RNA", at positions 29 to 507 of the family's 1533-position model. The record is from RNAcentral.